UAUUGGACAAUGGGGGAAACCCUGAUCCAGCAAUGCCGCGUGAAUGAAGAAGGCCUUCGGCCCGUAAAGUUCUUUCGCUUACGAUGAUAAUGACAGUAGUAAGAUAAGAAGGUCCGGCUAACUCUGUGCCAGCAGCCGCGGGGGAGACAGAGGGACCUAGCGUCGUCCCGAAUGACUGGGCGUAAAGGGUGCGUAGGUGGUUAUUUAAGUAGAGUGUUAAAUCCUUGGGCUCAACCCAAGAAUCGCAUUCUAUACUGGAUGACUAGAGUAGGGGAGAGGGGGAUUGGAAUUCCUAGUUAGAGGUAAAUUCGUAGAUAUUAGGAGGAACACCAGAGGCGAAGGCGAAUCUCGGCCCAUUACUACACUAGCACGAAG
This 375-nucleotide ribosomal RNA is filed under the name uncultured bacterium. RNAcentral's name for it is "bacterial SSU rRNA". It matches the Rfam family "Bacterial small subunit ribosomal RNA", at positions 362 to 758 of the family's 1533-position model. The record is from RNAcentral.